Long non-coding RNA from Pipistrellus kuhlii (Kuhl's pipistrelle), 1253 nucleotides. RefSeq lists it as uncharacterized. The transcript is spliced from 2 exons. Lineage: Eukaryota; Metazoa; Chordata; Mammalia; Chiroptera; Vespertilionidae. The record is from RefSeq and is a predicted model, not a curated record.
AGAAAAAAACAAACAGUAAACUAAAUUGCUCAAAGAAGAUUGUUUAUCUAGCAUAUGAAGAAUAAUAUUACAUCUCAUCCAGGGAGAAUCUCAAUAUGGAUGCCAGAUUUAACAGUAUGGGAUCUAAUUUUUCAUGGGAAGACUGGCCAUUUAAUUUGCCCAGUUCUUUUAUUCAUGUAAUAAAAUACAAAAAAGGCAAAUAUGUAUCCUCAUAAAAAUUUCUUUUUAGCCAGAAAAUAACUUAAUAUUUUAAAAUUAUAAAAUUAUAUCUGUUAGCUUAGUCUACAUAUAAAAAUACCAUUUUCUAUAGCUUCAUGAACAACUUCUUACAUGUAUUUGAUAGUUACAUUUCAGUAAAUUUAAAAAAUAACUGUAUCAUGUAAUGGGCUGUGUUUCUGUUUGGGAUGAUUCUCAAAGGAUGUCCAGUUGUGUUUAUCAGGCAAAUACAAGUUGCUAAGGAACAGAAGAACUAAAAUUGAGAGGUGAUCAAGUGGCUAUGAAAUUCCUUUCUUUCACUUAAAAUACAGGUGACUCUGAUAUUCUCUUUUCUGUUUCUUGCCCAGAGAUAUAAUUGAAAGAUCUGCAAAAGAAGUUAUGAGGCCCAUGAAUAGGCAAAGCAAAGAGGGAGCACUUUCUUUACCAUAGUUUAAACCCUGCUACAGAGCUAUAGUAAUACAAUUAGCAUUGCCUUGGAGAAAGGCCAGAGAGACGACUAGGACGGAAGGUGACCUCCGAGAUACAUUUACACAUAAAUGGUCAUACUGGGAUUCCAGGGGGAUUCAAUAUGAGGAGUAAUUAUUAAAAUAAAAAAGACUAUCUUUGUGACCUGAGGACUGAGAAAGAGAUAUUAAUAAAACGAAGAAAACAUAAAAGCAUAAGAUGAAAAUUUUAUCUCUUUGAUCAAAAUUAAAGAUUUCUAUGGAAGAAUUCCAAUGACAAAGUUAAAAGACAUAUGAUAGAUAAGGAAAAAACAUCUGAAAUGUCUCAAACUAAUGUCUCAGAAUUCCCAAAAUUAAUUCUGCCCAUAUAUUGGGAUCAGUUGGGGAAUUUUAAAACAAGUCUGUUUUCUAGAAUCUGCCUCUAGAGAUUCCCUUUCAGUGGUCUGGCAUGGAGCCUGACAUUGGUAUUAAAAAAAAAAAAAAAAAAAAAAAAAAAGAAUCCCCAGGUAAUUUUAAAACACAGUCAAGAUUUAGGUCCUCUGAUCUAGACAUAUAAGCAACUGCAUACCAACAAGAAAAGGGUGGAAUCCCAAU